ACGGAGGGUGCGAGCGUUAAUCGGAAUCACUGGGCGUAAAGCGCGCGUAGGCGGCCUUUUAAGUCAGGGGUGAAAUCCCACGGCUCACCCGUGGAACUGCCCUUGAUACUGCAUUGCUUGAGUGUGUGAGAGGAUAGCGGAAUUCCUGGUGUAGGAGUGAAAUCCGUAGAGAUCAGGAGGAACAUCAGUGGCGAAGGCGGCCAUCUGGCACAAAACUGACGCUGAGGUGCGAAAGCGUGGGGAUCAAACAG
This 251-nucleotide ribosomal RNA is filed under the name uncultured bacterium. RNAcentral describes it as "partial 16S ribosomal RNA". It matches the Rfam family "Bacterial small subunit ribosomal RNA", at positions 525 to 775 of the family's 1533-position model. The record is from RNAcentral.